This 105-nucleotide unclassified non-coding RNA is filed under the name Yersinia enterocolitica (type O:9) str. YE212/02. Lineage: Bacteria; Pseudomonadati; Pseudomonadota; Gammaproteobacteria; Enterobacterales; Yersiniaceae. The record is from RNAcentral. RNAcentral also lists the same sequence under 3 other names.
UUGCGCGGCAAAGGGGAGUAACUUCAUUGCCGGUUUGCCGUCAUUACGGUGCGAAAGCACCCGGUUACCGGGCACCUCAUUAAUGUACGGGCGUCUGUUUAGAUG